RNAcentral lists this ribosomal RNA (416 nucleotides) under Trachepyris sp. Its description in RNAcentral is "partial large subunit ribosomal RNA". Lineage: Eukaryota; Metazoa; Arthropoda; Insecta; Hymenoptera; Bethylidae. The record is from RNAcentral.
AAACCAUUUUUUAUUAUUAAUAAUAAUAAAUAAGUUUUGCUCAAUGAUUAUUUAAAUAGCUGCAGUAAUUUAACUGUACUAAGGUAGCAUAAUCAAUUGUUUUUUAAAUGGAAACUAGAAUGAAUGAAUUGAUGAAAUAUAUACUUUAUUUGAAUUAUUUAUUGAAUUUAAUAUUAUAGUUAAAAAGCUUUAAUUAUUUUAUAAGACGAGAAGACCCUAUAGAAUUUUAUAUAAUAAUUUUAUAAAAUUUUAAUAUAAAUAAUAAAAUUAUAUAUUUAUUUGGGAGGAAUAUUAAAAUUAAUAACUUUAAUUAAUUGAUUACAUAAAUUUWUGAUAUAAAUAGAUUUUAUUAAAAUAUAAGAUUAAAUUACCUUAGGGAUAACAGCGUAAUAUUUUUUUAUAGUUCAAAUUGAAAA